Molecule: ribosomal RNA, 250 nt
Filed under: uncultured bacterium
Lineage: Bacteria
Description: partial 16S ribosomal RNA
Rfam family: Bacterial small subunit ribosomal RNA
Source: RNAcentral
CACGUAGGGGGCGAGCGUUGUCCGGAAUUACUGGGCGUAAAGGGCGCGUAGGCGGCUUAAUAAGUCUGAUGUGAAACCCCUGGGCUUAACCCUGGGCUUGCAUUAGAAACUGUUAGGCUUGAGGGCAGGAGAGGAAAGCGGAAUUCCCAGUGUAGCGGUGAAAUGCGUAGAUAUUGGGAAGAACACCAGUGGCGAAGGCGGCUUUCUGGACUGUCACUGACGCUGAGGCGCGAAAGCCAGGGUAGCGAAC